UUUGUGGGGCUAUAAUGCAGUCGAGCGAAUGGAUUGAGAUUUUUCUCUUAUGAAGUAGGGGCGGGCGGGUGAGUAACACGUGUGUACCCUGUCCAUAAGACUGGGAUAACUCCGGGAACGCGGGGAUAAUACCGGAUAAAAGUGAGAACCGAAGGGUUCGAAAUUGAAAGGGCUUUUCGGUUGUCAUUUAUGGAUGGACCCGCGUCGUAUUAUAUAGGUUGAGAGGUAAGGUCUCCCCAAGGUAGCGAUGCGGACCCGACCUGAGAGGGUGAUCUGACACACUGGCUCUGAGACACGGCCCAGACUCCUAGGGGAGGAAAGAAUAGGGAAUCUUCCGCAGUGCAAGACAGUCUGAGGGAGCAACGACGGGUGUGUGAUGAAGGCUUUCUUCACGUAGAACUCUAGUGAUAGGGAAGAACAAGUGGUAGUUGAAUAAUUUGCGACCUUGACGGCACCUACUCAGAAAGCCACGGCUAACUACGUGCCAGAAGGCGCGGAAAUACGUAGGGGGAUAGCGGUAUCCAAAAUUAUUGGGCGUAAAGCGCGCGCAGGUGUUUUCUAAACUCUGAUGAGAAAGCCCACGGCUCAACCGAGGAGGGUCAUUAGAAACUGGGAGACUUGAGUGCAGAAGAGGAAAGUGGAAUUCCAUGUGUAGCGAUAAGAUGAGUAAAGAUAUGGAGGAACACCAGCGGCGAAGGCGACUUUCUGUUCUGUAUCUGACACUGAGGCGCGAAAGCGUGGAGAGAAACACAGGAUUACAUACCCUGAUAGAACGACGCCGAAAACGAUGGAGUGCUAGGUGUUAGAGUGUUUCCCGCCUCAUCUACAUGCAUGAUGUUACACGCUAUUAGAGCACUCCUCCCUGAGGGAGUACGCUCCAACAAGAGCUGAAACUGCAGACGGUACAUUGAGCGGGCGGCCCCAUAGUAGGU
Molecule: ribosomal RNA, 932 nt
Filed under: Bacillus sp. (in: firmicutes)
Lineage: Bacteria; Bacillati; Bacillota; Bacilli; Caryophanales; Bacillaceae
Description: bacterial SSU rRNA
Rfam family: Bacterial small subunit ribosomal RNA
Source: RNAcentral